This 497-nucleotide ribosomal RNA is filed under the name uncultured bacterium. RNAcentral's name for it is "partial 16S ribosomal RNA". It matches the Rfam family "Bacterial small subunit ribosomal RNA", at positions 28 to 507 of the family's 1533-position model. The record is from RNAcentral.
GAUGAACGCUGGCGGCGUGCCUAAUACAUGCAAGUCGAGCGAACAGACGCGGAGCUUGCUCCUUCGACGUUAGCGGCGGACGGGUGAGUAACACGUAGGUAACCUACCUAUAAGACUGGGAUAACUUCGGGAAACCGGAGCUAAUCCCGGAUAAUAUUUCGAACCGCAUGGUUCGAUAGUGAAAGAUGGCUUUGCUAUCACUUCUAGAUGGACCUGCGCCGUAUUAGCUAGUUGGUAAGGUAACGGCUUACCAAGGCAACGAUACGUAGCCGACCUGAGAGGGUGAUCGGCCACACUGGAGCUGAGACAGGGUCCAGACUCCUACGGGAGGCAGCAGUAGGGAAUCUUCCGCAAUGGGCGAAAGCCUGACGGAGCAACGCCGCGUGAGUGAUGGAGGUCUUCGGAUCGUAAAACUCUGUUAUUAGGGAAGAACAAACGUGGAAGUAACUGUGCACGUCUUGACGGUACCUAAUCAGAAAGCCACGGCUAACUACGUG